AGUUCGGAUUGUAGUCUGCAACCCGACUACAUGAAGCUGGAAUCGCUAGUAAUCGCGAAUCAGAAUGUCGCGGUGAAUACGUUCCCGGGUCUUGUACACACCGCCCGUCACACCAUGGGAGCCGGUAAUACCCGAAGUCAGUAGCCUAACCGCAAGGGGGGCGCUGCCGAAGGUAGGAUUGGCGACUGGGGUGAAGUCGUAACAAGGUACC
This 211-nucleotide ribosomal RNA is filed under the name uncultured bacterium. RNAcentral's name for it is "partial 16S ribosomal RNA". It matches the Rfam family "Bacterial small subunit ribosomal RNA", at positions 1290 to 1500 of the family's 1533-position model. The record is from RNAcentral.